CGAGAGGCUUCGGCAAUGGGGGAAACCCUGACCGAGCGACGCCGCGUGGGGGAUGAAGGCCCUUGGGUUGUAAACCCCUUUUGUUCGGGAAGAAAUGCGAUCAGGUGAAUAAUCUGGUCGUUUGACGGUACCGGACGAAUAAGCUCCGGCUAACUCCGUGCCAGCAGCCGCGGUAACACGGGGGGAGCAAGCGUUGUUCGGAAUUACUGGGCGUAAAGGGUGCGUAGGCGGUUAGUUAAGUCUGUUGUGAAAUCCCCGGGCUCAACCUGGGAAUGGCAAUGGAUACUGGCUAGCUAGAGUGUGUCAGAGGAUGGUGGAAUUCCCGGUGUAGCGGUGAAAUGCGUAGAGAUCGGGAGGAACAUCAGUGGCGAAGGCGGCCAUCUGGGACAACACUGACGCUGAAGCACGAAAGCGUGGGGAGCAAAC
This 426-nucleotide ribosomal RNA is filed under the name uncultured bacterium. RNAcentral describes it as "bacterial SSU rRNA". It matches the Rfam family "Bacterial small subunit ribosomal RNA", at positions 356 to 773 of the family's 1533-position model. The record is from RNAcentral.